RNAcentral lists this long non-coding RNA (4457 nucleotides) under Sparus aurata (gilthead seabream). RNAcentral's name for it is "lncRNA (ENSSAUG00010027169.1)". The record is from RNAcentral. Lineage: Eukaryota; Metazoa; Chordata; Actinopteri; Spariformes; Sparidae.
AGGUACUUUUUACACCUCUGCUCACUGAUACAGUUAAUGCAUCUCAUUUCUAGGAAGGAUGACAUCAUCCCCUUCACUUCCUCCGAUGUGUCUGGCCUCUCUUGCAGGAUGAGUCUGCAGAUUCUCCCCCUGAAUGACUCGGCACAAAAAAAAAUGGAGACUGAAGGAGAACAAAGGCAGCACAUCAGCACGUUCAGACCUCUGCUGUCAUAAAAACAGCUGCUGAAUAUCAAGACGUGUGAUCAGAGCGGAAAUAUUCUACAUGGUGUCGUGUUUAUUUCCCCGCAGCGACGUGACGUGAUGUUUUUAAAACCUUUAAAUGAUAAUUUCCUCUUUUUCUUCUUCACAUGAUGUCACUGAGUGCUGAUGUGACAGGCGGACCCCGCCUCCAACAGAGCGGUGUGAGUGGCCCCCAUGCUGGCAGCCUGUGUCUUUAAGCAGCCAUGUAAAGAGGGCGUGUCCACACACACACACACACACACUCACUCACACACACUCGAGCAGGCAGCAGCAGCUUUGUAGUGACUUAUUGCGCUUCGGAGCUGCAGCGUCGCGUCUGAGGAUGCGCUGACAGCCACGAGAAGAAGAAGAAGAGGAAGAAGAAGAAGAAGAAGAAGAGUCCUGCGUGAGUGUGUGUGCAUAAUUUUGGAUUUGUGAGUUGAUCCGAGCCUCCUGCGUCUCCUCCCGUCUGCUGAACGCGCCCCCUCCUCCUCCUCCUCCUCCUCCAUUGUCAACCUGCUGGGGGCCUCAACGUGAAGCCGGCUUUAUGAAUGGGAUGCUCGGGCCGCCGACGGGAGGCGCUCACCGCCUGCAGGUUUAUUAUGCGAGGAGCGCCUCGGCCGGGACCCACAACCUUUUCCGCCAAAUUCCAUCAGCAGACUCGCAGCUCUUCCAGGAGGCCGACGGCAUUGCUGAAAUCUGGAAAGUAUUAAACAACCUGCUGGUGGAGGGGACUGGGGAGGGGGAGGAAGGGAGGAAGGGAGGAAGGGAGGGGAGGCGGAUGAAGGAGGGACGUGAAAAGUGGGGGAUGGGGGAGCAAAGAAACAGAAUACAAAAUUGUUCAUAUACCGCCCUUUGCCUGGCUCUGCUCCCUCUCCACUCCCACACACACACACACACACAUUAACCCCCCCACCUCCCAAAACACACACACACACACACAUCCAGACCACUCCCCACAAAGCUCCAGCAUUUUUCUUUUAUGUUUGCAGCACUAUUCUGCAAGUCCUUUUUUUUUUUUUUUUUUAAUGGCUCAUAAACAAACAGCCGUUUCUGCUGUGUCGUUCUGGGGGGAGAGUGUGUGUGUGUGUGUGUGUGUGUGUAUAUGUGUGUGUUUCAGUGUGGUGUGGCGUGGCGUGUGUGUGUGUGUGUGUGUGUGUGAGGAGUUGUUUGCUGGCACAGAGCUGGGAGGCGAGUGUGAUGGUCGAGAAAGCCCCAACUGUGUGUUUGUGGCCGCGAGCGAGAAUGAAAACGCUGGACGCCGUCCAGACAUCCUUUCCCAGGCUUUGAGGGUCGUAGCUGACCAAAUGUAUGCACGGCAUCUGGGAGGGCACGCCGUACCCGGGAGAGAGGACGGGCCCGCCUAGAAGACGAUGUAUAGAACCUGACCGGUGCCAAGAUUUGAGCGAGAGCGAGCGAGACAUUAAUCUUCCCGAGAGUCAGAUCCGUCUCUGCUCUCUGCUCAGACACAGUUACUGUCAUUCACUGUGCCGCUGUCACUGAGGAGGAAGAUGUGGGCUUUGUGUCUCUGUAAACGCCGGAUAAGUUAUCACAUCUACAUUUCUACAUUUCAUCUUCUGUUUAGUCAACACGUGUGUGAGCCAGCUUCCUUAUCAGGAGGAGGAGGAGAUGGCGGUGUUGGCAGACCUGGCUGAGGCCGCGUUUGUGACCACUUCGGCUGGAAACAGGAUAUUUUCUUUUCAGCCGAUUUCAUGGAAACGAAAGCAGAUAUUCACUUUGAAACAAUGUGGGAAUUUAGAGCAGAAACGGCGUACGUGUCGGUGAAAUGUCGGGACAUUUUGCAGCCGACAGCUGGGUUCUUUCAGCGAUGUGUCGGGACAAUUUACAGCAGACAACUGGCAACAUAUUACAGCCCAUAAAUGAUAUUUUACCAUCAUGUCGGGAGACUUUGUGGCAUAAAAACAUCUAUUUUUAGCAAGAUGUUGGGACAAUUUGCAGCCAAGAACUGAGUAUUUAUAAGCUAGAUGUCAGUGCAGUUGCAUCCAAAAAGCUCAGUAAAUGUUAGUGAGAUGUCAAAACAAUUAGCAGCAGACAACUGGCAACGUAUCCGGACAAUUUGGAGCCCGUAUACAAUAUUUCAGCAUCAUGUCGGGACAGUUUGUAGCAUAAAAACAUCUCUUUUUAGCAAGACGCUGAGACAAUUUGCAGCCAAAAGCCUCUGUAGUGUUAGUGAGACGUCAGGACAGUUUGCAGCAGACGACCGGCAACAUAUUACAGCCCAUAAAUGAUAUUUUAGCAUCAUGUCGGGACAGUUUGUAGCAUAAAAACGUCUCUUUUUAGCAAGACGUUGAGACAAUUUGCAGCCAAAAAGCUCAGUAAAUGUUAGUGAGACAUCGGGACAAUUUGCAGCAGACGACUGGCAUCAUAUCGGGACAAUUUGGAGCCCAUAAAUGAUAUUUUAGCAUCAUGUCGGGACACUUUGUAGCAGAAAAACAUCUCUUGUUAGUGAAGAUGUUGGGACAAUUUACUUCCAGCAACCUCUGUAGUUUCAGUGAGAUGUCAGGACAAUUUGCUGAUGGGAAACCAGGUACCAAGUUUUUACUUUUGAUAAGAUCUCAGGCCAUUUUUCCAGGAGGAGCCAGAACACUUACACAAGUGUUUUCUUGUGCCCACACCUCUCCGGACCACGAGCAUGCUUUUUUUUGUCACAACACCAAACUGAACGCAGAGCAAACAGAAACGUAAAGUUGCAACACAUCACAUGUGGGGGUUCGACAUAUUUGUGGUUUGCAGAAAAACACACAAGCCGACGUUCUCAUCAGCGACUCUCCGCGUUGCGUCAUGCGUGUUUGUUAGUCGCUCGGCGGAGACGCCUCUGUGUUGAUCCGGCCUCAACACUCGUCGCCACAUUCAUUUAUCGUCGGCCUUUUCGGCGUCUGCCUUCACUUCCAGUCUGCAGAGUAACCAAACAAAGUGUAACACAGUUUCGCUGACAAAGUUCUCAUCAGAGUUUCUUCUCUCUCUCUUUGUGUCCUCAAAGAUUUACUCUGCGGCUAUUCCUCCAGGAGAGCGAGGCGAGGCGGAUAUUGGUGUUAACAGGAGCAGCGAACAUAAACAUUCCAGUACGCGGUGUUGACCUCCUGACCUCUGAACCCUGCAGCGGCAGGAGACCACACACACGUGGAGGAGGAGGAGGAGGUGGGAGGUGGGAGGAGGGAGGAACUUCUCCGGUGUCCUUCGCCCUUAAAGAGCUUCAGAUGCCGGAGACCGUGAAAAAUUAGCCCGACCCCGAAACAUCAGCGCUGCGUUUGGCGCUCGGGGGAUCGUCGCAGGUAUGUCAGAAUGUGGGUACGACUUUCUCAGAUGGAAAAGUGAUUCCAAGGGAAACACAGCUCCCGUCUCUGUCUGUCUGUCUCUCUCGCUCUCUCCACCCGUUGUGUAACUAAAAGUUUCCUUUAUGAAUCUGAGAUUGUGUCAUAACCUCUUCUGGUCUGGACUCCUCAGCGUUGAAAUAUGUUUUUCCGUCUCGCGGAACCCGCAAUUGCUAAAUCCGCCUUCACGUCAGCAGAGAGACAGAAAACAAUGUUUUCCACCAAAGAUUGUAUUUUUUUCUGUCUCCGCGGCGGACGGGCAAAACAAAUCAGUCGGAAACAAAAGUUGUGAGCUUUGAUUGUGUUUAACUUUCCGCCACGACUCCCCCCUCAGAUGUCCCGACUCUCCCGCGCCCAGAGAACGUGCUGGGCUCAUUUUCGCCACCAGCACAGAAACAAUGAUUCAUUUUCCAUUCUCUCCAUCUGUCUGAGCGCUCACCCCGUCUCACUCGGCUGAAGAGAGGAGCGCUUCCUGCAGCCAUGUGUGUCCCCAGGAGGUCUGGCCUGGCCUGCGCUCAGCCGUGACCACAUAGGCCGGGGCCUGGGGGGCUCCGGUGCUCUCUGCUCCCGCUCCCUCGCUGCCGGGGGGCUGCUUCCCUUCCAGGGCCCGUCCACGGCUGGCUGACACUGGAGGAAGGAGAGCGCACAACACGCCUCCACACAACCCACACCUUUAGUCAGAGAACACAAACUUUCACCAGCAAACUUUCGAGCUAAUUACUGCAGCAGAAUGAUUCUGCAUUAAUUGGUAUCCACGUCUUAUUCUCAUCGGCGGGGACAGUUCAUUCAGCAGUGAGUCCAGGAUUGAUUAAUAAAAAGAAACCUGCCUUCAGAUGUCGAUCACACACUGAGGCCACAUCCUUGCCAACGUAGACUUGGCGCCGGCCCAACAGCGGCUGGUUGUAC